This 199-nucleotide unclassified non-coding RNA is filed under the name uncultured Cladophialophora. Its description in RNAcentral is "sequence contains ITS1". The record is from RNAcentral. Lineage: Eukaryota; Fungi; Ascomycota; Eurotiomycetes; Chaetothyriales; Herpotrichiellaceae.
CUGAGUUAGGGUCUUCCAGGCCCGACCUCCAACCCUUUGCCUACCUUACCUCUUGUUGCUUCGGCCGGCCCGUCCCCCCUAGAAAUAGGGGUCGACCGCCGGAGGGCUCACACCCUCUGGCCCGCGUCCGCCGAUGGCCAACCACUUAAACUCUGAAUGAAUCGUGUCAUAUGUCUAAGUCUAUGAUUAAAUUAAAGCA